Molecule: ribosomal RNA, 491 nt
Filed under: uncultured bacterium
Lineage: Bacteria
Description: bacterial SSU rRNA
Rfam family: Bacterial small subunit ribosomal RNA
Source: RNAcentral
GAUGAACGCUAGCGACAGGCUUAACACAUGCAAGUCGAGGGGCAACAUGAUUUUAGCUUGCUAAAAUUGAUGGCGACCGGCGCACGGGUGAGUAACGCGUAUGUAACUUGCCUACCAGAGGGGGAUAGCCCGGCGAAAGUCGGAUUAAUACCGCAUAAAACAGGGGUUCCGCAUGGAAAUAUUUGUUAAAGGAUUACCGCUGGUAGAUAGGCAUGCGUUCCAUUAGAUAGUUGGUGGGGUAACGGCUCACCAAGUCGACGAUGGAUAGGGGUUCUGAGAGGAAGGUCCCCCACAUUGGUACUGAGACACGGUCCAGACUCCUACGGGAGGCAGCAGUGAGGAAUAUUGGUCAAUGGAGGCAACUCUGAACCAGCCAAGUAGCGUGAAGGAUUACUGCCCUACGGGUUUUAAACUUCUUUUAUGCGAGAGUAAUGUGCGCUACGUGUAGCGUAUUGCAAGUAUCGCAUGAAUAAGCAUCGGCUAACUCCGUG